AAAACAGGGAGCAUCGAUGCUCACAAUGUUCCCUUACUGGAUAUGACAUGCUUUCUGAAUGGUGGACAGACUCUUAGCCAACUUCCAUUUACAAAUGAUACACACACAGGAUACACACAAUGGACAAGGAUUUUGCUGUCCUAUUAUCCUGAGUCUGAGAGAUGAGGAGUGUGUGUUGUUUGGACCCCCCACACAUACUUUUUGGGAAAUGAUUGCGCAACCAUGGGGGCAUUAACUACAGUAUAUGCAGGUAAUUUGCAUGCUCUUGAUUGGAACAUCCAGGAAAUGGACUUAAGCAGAAACUCAGCUAACAUCUCAGGUGACAACUCUAAGCUAGUAGUGAACAUGUGAUGGAUCAGUGUUAUUGUGUCAUUAAAUGUAACAGCCAAUCAUGUUUCAGCAUGCAAAUACAGG
Ictalurus punctatus (channel catfish) is the source of this 414-nucleotide long non-coding RNA. NCBI's taxonomy places the organism in Eukaryota, Metazoa, Chordata, Actinopteri, Siluriformes, Ictaluridae. The record is from Ensembl.